AUGCAAGUCGAACGGGAUAGAACUUAGCAAUAGGUUCUUGAGAGUGGCGCACGGGUGCGUAACACGUAUGCAACCUACCUUUAACUGGGGGAUAGCCUCUCGAAAGAGAGAUUAAUACCCCAUAGUAUAACUGAAGAGCAUUUUUUGGUUAUUAAAGAUUUAUCGGUUAAAGAUGGGCAUGCGGCUGAUUAGGUAGUUGGUGAGGUAAUGGCUCACCAAGCCAACGAUCAGUAGGGGGUCUGAGAGGAUGUCCCCCCACACUGGUACUGAGACACGGACCAGACUCCUACGGGAGGCAGCAGUAGGGAAUAUUGGACAAUGGGGGCAACCCUGAUCCAGCCAUUCCGCGUGCAGGAAUAAGGCCCUAUGGGUCGUAAACUGCUUUUGUAUGGGAAAAAAUCAUCUUACGUGUAGGAUGUUGAUGGUACCAUGAGAAUAAGGAUCGGCUAACUUCGUGCCAGCAGCCGCGGUAAUACGAAGGAUCCAAGCGUUGUCCGGAUUUACUGGGUUUAAAGGGUGCGUAGGCGGGGAAUUAAGUCAGUGGUGAAAGCUGGUAGCUCAACUAUCAAAUUGCCAUUGAAACUGAUUCUCUCGAGUACGGUUGAGGUAGCUGGAAUGUAACAUGUAGCGGUGAAAUGCUUAGAUAUGUUACAGAACACCGAUUGCGAAGGCAGGCUACUAAACCGUAACUGACGCUGAGGCACGAAAGCGUGGGGAUCAAACAGGAUUAGAUACCCUGGU
RNAcentral lists this ribosomal RNA (741 nucleotides) under uncultured Bacteroidota bacterium. Its description in RNAcentral is "bacterial SSU rRNA". It matches the Rfam family "Bacterial small subunit ribosomal RNA", at positions 55 to 791 of the family's 1533-position model. The record is from RNAcentral. Lineage: Bacteria; Pseudomonadati; Bacteroidota.